AUAACACCUAGCUAGCGGGUCACGGGGUUUCUGUGCCUUUGGGCUAACACGUCUUCUGAUACUAACAAAUAAAGAUUAUCUUUUAGAAUCUAACAUUUCAUAGGGGGGACUGAUGUAGAAUUAUUAAAAUCUUUAUUAGAACCUGUAUUGAAUUAUUGUACUAACUCCAUUUUGUUCACCUUACAUGACAGAAUUUCCUGACAGUAUUCAGUAUAAUGAAUAAGAGAUUGUAUUCUCUCUCUAAGGACAUAACUAGCCCCGGAGUUAGCGGAUCUCCGUUGACUUGCAACAUAGUAUAAUCCAAGGCCAGGAGAACAGUGACAAAAUGAAAUGUUCUAUUCAUAAAAGAACCUUGGAACAGACCACGAGACUGACAUCACUAACUACGUAAAAUGACGCCCAAGCCCCCCUUUCCACCGAGUAAGCCUCGUGCUAAAGAGCAAUGGCGACGACAUCCCAUGAUGGGAGGGUGCCUCACUAGUCACUCAAAUCUCUGAGCCAAUUAAUAAUAUUAAUGGGUGGACACUGACAUAGCCACUUAACAU
Non-coding RNA from Pelobates cultripes (western spadefoot toad), 545 nucleotides. NCBI's taxonomy places the organism in Eukaryota, Metazoa, Chordata, Amphibia, Anura, Pelobatidae. The record is from the annotation of a GenBank genome assembly.